Molecule: non-coding RNA, 29 nt
Filed under: Mus musculus (house mouse)
Lineage: Eukaryota; Metazoa; Chordata; Mammalia; Rodentia; Muridae
Source: RNAcentral
CCAAAUGAUUCAUAGUGGUGUUUACCUGC